UACAAAAUGCUUUAUUUAACCUUCAUGCCUCCAUUCAGAUAAUUAUACAAAUGCAUACAUUUAAAGGUUUAAACUCUAUUUCAAUUCACAGCUCAAUUCAUAGGAAAGUUGAAUACAGAAAAGCAAUGCACCAACAAAAUAUGUCUGAGACACCAUUAAAAACGAUAACACUUGUUCAUUUAAAUCUUUGAGAAUAGAGUGGAAUAAUCAUCCUCUGACAGAAUUUCAUUAGGGGGCUCCCUUUACAUUAUCAUAGGGCAAAAAAAUCACCAUUUUACAGUAAGAGGAAAAAAAGCUCUGAGUAUAUUUACAAUACAUACACUAUACAUAAAUACAAGAACAACACUUACAUAAUAUUAAUAAACUUAUAACAUAGGUUUUGCCUAAACACUACAUAGUAUAUAAAUGCAGAGGAAACUAUUGGGAAAUUAGAUCUUCAGAUGUUUACUUUUAUUUUUGAAGAAAAGUAAUUUUUGCAUUUAAAAGCUUUUGAAAAGAAGGCAAAAGAAAGACUUAAGAAACUAAAAUGUUUGCUUGCUAGCACUGGUAUUUUUAUUCCUUUCAAGUGUAGGACCUCUAUUGACACUAUUAUCUCUAUGGGGUUACCGAUAAUGACCCUCCCUUUUGCAUCUUAUCUAGGAAAAAGAUCGAGGUGCCCUACAUACUAAUUCCAUUGCUGUGAAGCUUCAGUCCCAAAUUAAUAGCUUUGUAAACCAAGGGAUGUUUUUGUAUUUUUACACAGGAGGAUCAAAUCAACACUCAUUGGUACAUACGACGAUUAACGACCUGAUUAGAAGGAACAAUCUGGGGCCAAAUGCAACCCCAUCCUUAGGAUUUCAUUCAACUAAUGCCAGAGGGGAAUUUGCUUCUUCCAUAAGUGACUUGGCCAAGAAUGAUAUUUUUCAUUAUUGUUGUUUCUUCCUAAACACAGCUGAAAGAACUUUCCAAUUUAAUGGUAAUUUUGACCCCACAUGUUGAUAGCAGUGUCCAAAUCAUUUUAAGUGUACGAAUGCGUGUGUCUGUGUGUGUGGGUUGAAGGUCUUAAGGCUGAUGGUGCAUGAAACUGAAGUAAUUCAUUACUAUCUCUGUGUAUAUUCUAUUGCAAAGGCAAAUGGGAGAUGUAACCUUUUAGGGACAGACAGCAGUUCAAGAGAGCAUAUUGUGUAGGUGUUCAGCACAUAACUUAACUUAUAUUACCAACAAAGCAACGUCUAGGACAAUAAAGAAAGAAAUUAACUAUGGGGAUUUUUAAAUGAAAAAUAAGAUACAAAUGUAGCAGUGAAAAAAUAGUUUGAAACCAGAAAUGACAAAAUGAACUCUGAAUUGAGGAAAAGAUUAAUUCAGCCGUGCGGAUUAUGGCUCAAGCUGUCUUUCCAAAGAAGCUCUUUACAUCUAGAAAGGCAGGGACAGGGAGAAAAGCAGUAUCUGAACCUCUAUCUGUAUUCCAUGGUUCAUGCUUAUGACAAGCCAUCAAAGUCAUCACCUGUGGUCCCUUACCAGUCACUGAACUAUUGUUUUAUAAACGCAAAGGUCACAGCAUGGAGCAAGGUUUAGCAAGUUAAUUUGUGAACCACCAUUCACCACUUCUUUUACAAAUGGCAGCAUCUUGGCUCAUUGAAACUUUUGAGACUGAACUGGGGAAGCUGUUGCAGGUCACACACAUAUAGACAAUAGAACCCCAGAGAAUUAUUCUAUUCCUAUCUUCCUAAUAGCUAAAAUUCACAUGCCCGGUUUUGCUUGUCUGAAGGACUGAACAACUGUGUACUGAAUAAUCUAAAAAUUACUACAUGGGCAAUUCCAUUUAUUUUGUACUUUUAAGUCAGUAAGCACAAGCUACUAUAGAAGUAUGCUGGCAAAUCAAUAAAACUGACAAAAAAACCAACUCAGUAUUUGUUUUUCAGAAUGGAGGAAAAAAAGCCUGGCUCAUUUUGGGAUAGCGAAGACAAGGUGUUCUUUCCUACGCAAGAACUAACACUCGUAAUGCUGCAGUCAGCCAAACCUCCCAACACUGCAAGUUUCUAAGGGUGCCUCCUUGUAGUGUUGCUGCUCCAGAACAAAGAACCAAACCCUCCUCUCCAACAAUGGCUCAGGCUCAAGGUAAGAAACCAUUGUUUCCGUUGUCCCUCUGAUGACACAUUCCCUGGUGUCCUCCUAAAAUCUCCAUCAUGAAUUGUGUUCUUUUAUGUGCUUAAUAUCUGGAGAUUAAACUCAGGAUGACAGAAUAAGUACCUGCAUGUUCUGAUGGGAUAAUUUCCACCGGUGGCUAACAUUUAAAACUAAGCUGUUAACCAAACUAGCCGUCUUGUCACAGGAUGAACCAAGGUCCAUAAAUGUCUAGUUUUCACAUGUGAGCCCAUGUGCUUUUUUUCUGCACCUGCACUUUCUUUCGUAUAUGAGCAUCUUCAUGCACAUCCAAUCCUGCCUCCGUGAAUAAAACCCUAACAACCAUCCUGUUCCUGCAGCAAUCCACCAAUGCCAGCAAAAGCCUAGGCAAAAUGUGGAAUAUUUUCAAAUGCAAAGUUCUGCCUGGAUAAAUAACAGGUACAAAUUUAAAGGAUGGAAAGCAAUCUUCCUUGGCAAAGGUAUUAGGACUAACAGUUACAUUUUGAUCUCCAAUAAAGUCAUUUUUAGAAACAGAAGAAGCAUGAGGGAUGGCAUUACACUGCUAUUUUAAGAAUCCAUUAGCAGCAGUUAAUAUUUUUGAUUUUUACAGAAACUUACCAGAUUGAAAAAAAAAAACCCCGUAAUUGAGAAAAAAGAUUAGAAGAGUCACAGCUGGCCAUUUUCUUGCAAGAUCAAUUAGUCUAUUGAUGUAAAUGUUUAGCCCACUUGCUAUAAUAAACCUCCUUACUUCAUUUUAGGAAUAGCGACUUCUUGUUUGCUAUUCAAAUAGUCUCUAGACUGACAGUUCCCAGUUUUUCAUUCAUUUGUCCCCAAAAGAAAGUGAUAUAUUUUGCCCACUCCUGAAGUCAACCAGUUCUAAGAUGAUAUUAAAUACCACGAGCACUACGUGACAAAUAGAAAAGCGACAUAAGGUGAACUCUGCAUUUCCAGAGUUCAAUGCAGAGGAUUUUGCAAGAGAAUCCCCGCUCUACUAUAUACCCUAAAAAAGCUCCAUUCGGCUUAUUGCUGGUUUUUGGAUUAUUUCACUAGAGAAUACCCUGGAUACAUGGGCACAUCAGACAUAUAUUAGGGAAAAAAACCUUAAAACGCUGCUUGACAAUGACCUCCAUUCAUACCUACUGAGAAUUGAUAUGGAUAUGAGUCACUUGUAAACUAAGAUUCAUUUUCUUCUUACAAGUAUAUGACAGAUGUUAUCUGAGAAAAUAACUAAAACCUCUAACACAACAUCUCAACAUGUGAAAAUACAAAUGGCACUUUGUGUUUCUGUGCUGCAUUAUUUUUCUCCAAGUAAAAUUUCAUUUUCACCUACUGUUAACAGAAUCCUGCAAGUUAUUGCUGUGUAAAAGUAUAGGAACAUCCCAUCAGUUUUAAUUACAGGCACUUUCAGUUUCUGUUUCAUCUUUUAAAAUAGAUUUUAGGCUAUCCUGCUGAAGCGUAUGUGCAUUUUAAAUGUCAUAACUGUCCUGCUACAAUUGAUUUGGUUGACAUGUUACUGCACCUAAAAGACUAAACUCCCCUGCAACCAGCAAAGAGCAGCUGUCCAUUUCAGCUCUGCAACCUUUAUUCAAGGUGCACUGUAGUCAGGGAAAUAUAAGAAGAAAUAAAAUGAAAUGAGAGUUUGCUGUUACUGUAUCUGCAAUUCACUGUAAAAUGCCAGAAAGAAAAAAAAACCAAACCCCACACAAAAAACCCCAAACCUUUCAUAUGGUUUUCAUUUUGUUUCUUUUUUUUAAUUCAGUCAAAGACAUUCUGAGUGUUGACUUAUUUGACACUGAAGGACUCAGUAUGACUUUGCUAUAUCACAUGCUAUCUGCGAAACAGCAAAGAAGUGGCCACUCCAUGUUGCAGAGAAAACAUGCUCUGAUAAAACUGAACAAUUUACUUCUUACAUUUUGUGUUUAAGCUUUGCAAGGCAUUUUCUAACCAGUUUUCCUGAUGAAAAUGAAAGGAUUUUUUAAAAUGUACUUCAUUUUACCUAUUUACAUCCCGUGUAAAAUUGUGAGUUCGAAAAUACUUUUCCACUAUCACAUAUAUUACAGAAUAUCUAAACUGUCACAAGUAUAGUAAAAUACUUUUUUGAUUUCUAAAGAUGCAGUAUCCUUAUAGCUAUGUUUUUGUACUAAAACCUGAUUUACUGCAGAAAUUGAUCAGAAUUGAAGCCUUUUCACAGUACCAAUGGGCAUGACUGCAGAAACAUACAUUACAGAGCAAUUGUUAUGCUAUCGCAGAGCUGUGAAAAUACAACUAUCUUUAAAUUUCUGUGUGCACUUCUCCAGUUACAAAUCACAGACAAAGGCAUAAUACAACAACAUGAGCUGGUUUCUUAAGAAGGUAGUAUUUUCUUUUAUAGUGCUUAUUGCCAAUUUGAAAUUUUCCUAUUCAUUUUUUUAAAAUAAACUAACUUGGUUUUUUACCUGCACAUGGGUGGAGGCACGUGGAAGCGCUGAAGUUCAUAUGCACGAGGGUAUGGAUGAACAUGCAGGAGUGGGGCGGAUUUACUGAACCAUCCUAAGACUUGUCUGCCGUGGAUGAUGCAGUUUCAGACACUGACCUUUCCAAAGUUCAAACUAAAAAAUAAGCGGGAUAUAAAAAGUGAAACUUACUCUGAUUUUGAGGUACCCACCUUCAAUAAAGGAGAACGAGAUUUUUUCCGUUAAACAGCAUUUAUUAUCAGAAGAUAAAUUUAUAAAUGGCAACUAGAAUACAUUUUCAAUGUGGCUAAUGGAAAAUGAGACUUAUGAUAGCUGUCAUUCCAAUUAUUAAAGGGGAGAAAGGUUUUCCAGCUAUUUGUCCAUGCUCUGCACUGUGAGUUUACCCCAAACAUCAAUGCCACUGAUGUAAUUUUCAACACUGUUAAUUUUGUUAUACAUUACUCCAGCAAAUAAUCAUAUAUACAAGUCAGUCUAAAUCUAUUUAGUUAACUGUAUAAGCAUGAUAGAGAAUAAGGAAUACUGCAUCUUCAUCCCUACGUAUAAAUUGCUGUUGCUAUGAGCCAAUUUUAUAGUGCUGGUGCACUGUAAAACAGGUGCUCAAAAAAUAACGACAAUUUAAAAUUCAAAAACUGCUUGCUCCUUACAUUUUCCUAGAAUGCUGGCUUCUGAGAUUUCCUGACAGAUCAGUGAAUUAUAGAAUGGUUUGGGCUGGAAGUGAUCUUACAGAUCACUUAGUUCCAACCCCCCUGCUAUGGGCAGGGACGCCUUCCACUAGAGCAGGUUGCUGAAAGCCCCAUCCAACCUGGCCUUCAACACUGCCAGGGAUGAGGCAUCCACAGCUUCUUUGGGCAACCUUGGCCAAUUGAAAACAGUCUUUUUGAAAACAUACAAAAUCUGACACUUUGUGGCAUAGUUUCUCUUGUAAGCUGUAAUGGGCAUGGUGGAUGUUUCCCAUCGUUACUUACACUCGAAAGCAUAAAUGUCUGUCUUUCUGAAAGAAUGGGACAGUCUAUAUUUGUCUUUCCCAACUGCUCAAUUAAGAUGGACCUACUGUGUUGCGUCAAGAUGAAAUCUGGUAUUUCUGCAUGCUACAUAUGACAUAAGCCUUCACCAUGGUUAUGAAAUGUCAUGGACC
This 5691-nucleotide long non-coding RNA is filed under the name Strigops habroptila (Kakapo). Its description in RNAcentral is "lncRNA (ENSSHBG00005003561.1)". Lineage: Eukaryota; Metazoa; Chordata; Aves; Psittaciformes; Psittacidae. The record is from RNAcentral.